CCCCUAGGAAGUCCUCGUGUUGCAUUCUU
Molecule: ribosomal RNA, 29 nt
Filed under: Solanum vespertilio
Lineage: Eukaryota; Viridiplantae; Streptophyta; Magnoliopsida; Solanales; Solanaceae
Source: RNAcentral